CUCAGCACAGCGCUUCCAAAGUUAUUUACCUGGUAGCGAGUGUCAGACUUCCUUCAUUUUUCUGGCUGAAUCCUAUUCCCAUGGGUGGAUGGACCGCAUUUUGUCCUCCAUUCAUCUGCUGGGGGCAACUGUGCUGUUUCCACCUUUCAGCCAUUGACUUGAUGUGGCGUAUGGAGCACUGACCGUCCAUGUGGCAGGACUCAGAGGACGCGGGCAACACAGUGCCCAGGACAGAGAGGCCACAGAGGAGCAAACGGGCAGGCCGAGGACAGUCAAGACCAAGGGGUGCCAGGCAGGGUGUGGGCUUCUUGGGCCCACAAUGACGGGCCCUCCAUCGGGAUCCUGUGGGGCAGGCCAGGGGCAGGGGCAGGUGGCCUCAUAAGCCCUUGAGGAAGGUGCAGGGGGAGUUGCUCCCACUCCAUGGCUGGGGGACAAGGGGAAUUGCAUUUCCAAGGGGGCUGAGCCAAGCAUCCUCAAAGGCGGCAGUUUUGGAGCGAGUUGGCACCAUAAGCACAGAAGACAGCAAACGUUAGACCCUCUCCCAACUGUGGCGGCCUGGAGGGAGCUCAUGCCACCUCUUCUCGAAGGGAGCGCCCUAUGACCUCCUCAGAGUCCAGGACAUGAGAGCCGAGCCCAUGCACCAGUGACUCACGCCCCGGCACAGAUGAGCCCAGAGCCCGGAACAGAGGCCGUAGCAAGACCCCGGGAGCCCAGCCUCCCCUACCCCUCCAGCCCCGCUCUGGGCCCCAGGAGGCUGACCUCCAUGGAUGUCCCAGCAAUCUGUCUCUGGCCUCUGGGUGGGUGUGGCCAAUGGAGUCAUCCGGGACACGGAGGUGGGAAGGGACUGGGCCCUCCUUAUCAGGUCUGAGGGUCAGGGGCCCUACAUCUGCUUGUCCCUGUUCUCAGCGCCAGGCUCACCUCAUCCCCUGCCCCUUGUCAGAGCUCCUUCUUUGACCCUCCCCAGGGGUCCAGCUCACUUGUUUGUUAGUGACCUCAUCACAGACAAGUUCUCAGCCCUCCCAUGGGGCGGUCGGUCCUUCAGGCACUGGAAAUACAGCGGUGGACACAGUGGUGGACCUCCCGGUAUGUCCUCUGUUCGACUGAACAGUCGGGUUGCGGGGCCUCCAGGAGCUCUGUGAGCCCGUGCUCAGGUGCACACAACAGAAGUACUCCGCUGACGCCCACCCCUUUCACUCAGCUCUCGGUUCAGUCAUCGCCAAGCAACUGAGAGCCUUUGUGAAGAGGCUUCCUGCCCUCUUCAUCUUCCACAGACACGCUCUUCUUCCUUAAGCCCAGGCAUACACAGACACAGUGAAUGCACACACAAAGACACACACCAGUGUGCACACUGCUCUGGAAUCCACAGGUUCUAUAAAUAUCUAGAAAUGAUAUCUGAAAGUGCAUUGUUAUAUGCGCUGGUCUGUGAUGGUUACGGUGAUGGUGAUUCCUCCUUCCGGAGGAUGGCGCGGCUGCAGCCAGAGGGAGAUUAGGUGGCGGAGGCUUCGAUGACCAUUUACAUUUUACGAGUACUUAUUUUGAGUGUGUAUUUGGAAAAAUUAAAUUUGUAUAUCAAGCCCA
Molecule: long non-coding RNA, 1578 nt
Filed under: Homo sapiens (human)
Lineage: Eukaryota; Metazoa; Chordata; Mammalia; Primates; Hominidae
Description: HSALNT0402438
Source: RNAcentral